This 443-nucleotide non-coding RNA is filed under the name Pongo abelii (Sumatran orangutan). The record is from RNAcentral. Lineage: Eukaryota; Metazoa; Chordata; Mammalia; Primates; Hominidae.
UCCCUCUCAGAUACUUACUGGUUCAUUCAUUCGUUCAUUUUGCUUUAACUCAGAGGACCCCUCCCCAUCCUAAGGUGCACUGCUGGGAUUGGUCUAUGUGUUGAUGAUAUUCUCCUGGUCUUCAGAGGAAAAAGAAUGCCUGUGUUUUGGAGUUCCUUCUUAGGACGAAACCAGCUGAAGCUGGCGAAAUCCAAGAUGGCGCCUCUGAAGACCCUCUGGCUUUAUUAUCAUCCUGUUCUCCUGCUAAGCGACACUCCCACCAGCGCCAUGACAAUUGACAGUCGCCAUGACAACGACUGGAAGAGACCAAGAAGGGACAGAAAAAAAGGGGUUCCUUGAUUCCAGGAAAAUCUCCGUUCUUUCCCAAGAAAAGCAUGAAUAUUCCCCCCCCUUGCUCUUAAUGCCCAGCCCCUUCAUUAAAGACACCCUACGUCUGUAACUUC